RNAcentral lists this unclassified non-coding RNA (22 nucleotides) under Mus musculus (house mouse). RNAcentral describes it as "oocyte_clustered_small_RNA8760". The record is from RNAcentral. Lineage: Eukaryota; Metazoa; Chordata; Mammalia; Rodentia; Muridae.
UGCUAAGCUAGCACCCAGAAGC